This 308-nucleotide unclassified non-coding RNA is filed under the name plant metagenome. RNAcentral's name for it is "partial contains 5.8S ribosomal RNA, internal transcribed spacer 2, and large subunit ribosomal RNA". The stretch from base 1 to 105 matches the Rfam family "5.8S ribosomal RNA", at positions 50 to 154 of the family's 154-position model. The record is from RNAcentral.
GAAAUGCGAUAAGUAGUGUGAAUUGCAGAAUUCAGUGAAUCAUCGAAUCUUUGAACGCACAUUGCGCCCUUUGGUAUUCCAAAGGGCAUGCCUGUUCGAGCGUCAUUUGUACCCUCAAGCUUUGCUUGGUGAUGGGCGUCUUGUCUCUAGCUUUGCUGGAGACUCGCCUUAAAGUAAUUGGCAGCCGGCCUACUGGUUUCGGAGCGCAGCACAAGUCGCACUCUCUAUCAGCAAAGGUCUAGCAUCCAUUAAGCCUUUUUUUCAACUUUUGACCUCGGAUCAGGUAGGGAUACCCGCUGAACUUAAGC